AUUUAUCAUUAGCUGAGUGGAUAAAGCAAUGGAUUUUGAAGCGAAUAGUACUAGGUUCGAGUCCCAUAGUGAAU
Molecule: transfer RNA, 74 nt
Filed under: Schistosoma mansoni
Lineage: Eukaryota; Metazoa; Platyhelminthes; Trematoda; Strigeidida; Schistosomatidae
Source: RNAcentral